Molecule: ribosomal RNA, 384 nt
Filed under: uncultured bacterium
Lineage: Bacteria
Description: bacterial SSU rRNA
Rfam family: Bacterial small subunit ribosomal RNA
Source: RNAcentral
AUUGAACGCUGGCGGCAUGCCUUACACAUGCAAGUCGAACGGUAACAGGUCUUCGGAUGCUGACGAGUGGCGAACGGGUGAGUAAUACAUCGGAACGUGCCCGAUCGUGGGGGAUAACGCAGCGAAAGCUGUGCUAAUACCGCAUACGAUCUACGGAUGAAAGCGGGGGAUCGCAAGACCUCGCGCGGACGGAGCGGCCGAUGGCAGAUUAGGUAGUUGGUGGGAUAAAAGCUUACCAAGCCGACGAUCUGUAGCUGGUCUGAGAGGACGACCAGCCACACUGGGACUGAGACACGGCCCAGACUCCUACGGGAGGCAGCAGUGGGGAAUUUUGGACAAUGGGCGCAAGCCUGAUCCAGCCAUGCCGCGUGAGUGAAGAAGGCC